Molecule: ribosomal RNA, 499 nt
Filed under: uncultured bacterium
Lineage: Bacteria
Description: partial 16S ribosomal RNA
Rfam family: Bacterial small subunit ribosomal RNA
Source: RNAcentral
AUUGAACGCUGGCGGCAGGCCUAACACAUGCAGGUCGAGCGGAUGACGGGAGCUUGCUCCUUGAUUCAGCGGCGGACGGGUGAGUAAUGCCUAGGAAUCUGCCUGGUAGUGGGGGACAACGUUUCGAAAGGAACGCUAAUACCGCAUACGUCCUACGGGAGAAAGCAGGGGACCUUCGGGCCUUGCGCUAUCAGAUGAGCCUAGGUCGGAUUAGCUUGUUGGUGAGGUAAUGGCUCACAAGGCGACGAUCCGUAACUGGUCUGAGAGGAUGAUCAGUCAAACUGGAACUGAGACACGGUCCAGACGCCUACGGGAGGCAGCAGUGGGGAAUAUUGGACAAUGGGCGAAAGCCUGAUCCAGCCAUGCCGCGUGUGUGAAGAAGGUCUUCGGAUUGUAAAGCACUUUAAGUUGGGAGGAAGGGUUGUAGAUUAAUACUCUGCAAUUUUGACGUUACCGACAGAAUAAGCACCGGCUAACUCUGUGCCAGCCGCCGCAGUAA